GCGUCGGUAGCACAGUGGUAAGUACGCUCGCCAGCCACGCAUAUGGUCCUGGGUUCGAUUCCCGGCCGACACA
Molecule: transfer RNA, 73 nt
Filed under: Trichobilharzia regenti
Lineage: Eukaryota; Metazoa; Platyhelminthes; Trematoda; Strigeidida; Schistosomatidae
Rfam family: tRNA
About the family: Transfer RNA (tRNA) molecules are approximately 80 nucleotides in length.
Source: Rfam by way of RNAcentral